This 806-nucleotide ribosomal RNA is filed under the name Staphylococcus sp. KSUM_53. RNAcentral describes it as "bacterial SSU rRNA". It matches the Rfam family "Bacterial small subunit ribosomal RNA", at positions 26 to 817 of the family's 1533-position model. The record is from RNAcentral. Lineage: Bacteria; Bacillati; Bacillota; Bacilli; Caryophanales; Staphylococcaceae.
AGGAUGAACGCUGGCGGCGUGCCUAAUACAUGCAAGUCGAGCGAACGGACGAGAAGCUUGCUUCUCUGAUGUUAGCGGCGGACGGGUGAGUAACACGUGGAUAACCUACCUAUAAGACUGGGAUAACUUCGGGAAACCGGAGCUAAUACCGGAUAAUAUUUUGAACCGCAUGGUUCAAAAGUGAAAGACGGUCUUGCUGUCACUUAUAGAUGGAUCCGCGCUGCAUUAGCUAGUUGGUAAGGUAACGGCUUACCAAGGCAACGAUGCAUAGCCGACCUGAGAGGGUGAUCGGCCACACUGGAACUGAGACACGGUCCAGACUCCUACGGGAGGCAGCAGUAGGGAAUCUUCCGCAAUGGGCGAAAGCCUGACGGAGCAACGCCGCGUGAGUGAUGAAGGUCUUCGGAUCGUAAAACUCUGUUAUUAGGGAAGAACAUAUGUGUAAGUAACUGUGCACAUCUUGACGGUACCUAAUCAGAAAGCCACGGCUAACUACGUGCCAGCAGCCGCGGUAAUACGUAGGUGGCAAGCGUUAUCCGGAAUUAUUGGGCGUAAAGCGCGCGUAGGCGGUUUAAGUCUGAUGUGAAAGCCCACGGCUCAACCGUGGAGGGUCAUUGGAAACUGGAAAACUUGAGUGCAGAAGAGGAAAGUGGAAUUCCAUGUGUAGCGGUGAAAUGCGCAGAGAUAUGGAGGAACACCAGUGGCGAAGGCGACUUUCUGGUCUGUAACUGACGCUGAUGUGCGAAAGCGUGGGGAUCAAACAGGAUUAGAUACCCUGGUAGUCCACGCCGUAAACGAUGAGUGCU